GAGCCAUAUAUUUGAUAUUAAGCAAGUUGUCUGAGGAUGUUCACUACCCAGCUAAUUUGAGCUCCCCGUUUCCAUAUGCAGGUAAAUCCAGAAUUUUCACCACUUUUUAGUUCUAAUUUUACCACUCUCCUUCUUGCUUGCUUAAAUGGGGUGCCUUCUCAUAAUACCUUUCUUGCUUUGAAGAAUAUAGCAUUUAGCAUGUUUUUUCUAAAAACAAGUCACAAGUCACAACACCAUUUAGAAUGUCACAACUGAGAAUGCUGGGAUAUAUUGACAUGUGCAGCUAGACAUUCCCUUGGCAUUCGUGAUAUUUAUAGCUGGAUUCACCCUGCAGAUAUGGCAUAAUUAUUUCUCUUAGUCACUUCUUUCACUUCAAAAUAUCCAGGCCUUGGUUUCCCUAGGUACCCUGUCGCUGUUUCUUGUUGGGUAUAUGAUAAUUCCACAAGUGCCAUAUAAUAAUGUUGUGAACUAUGGACCUAAUCGGUACGCUGCUGGUGGUGGUGGCAGGUACCAAAACAACAAGGUUCGUGUCUGCUGUCCUGCUUGUUGGAGGGGGACUGGUGUAGCAUCAAUCACUAAUAGGCCAGGCUAUUAAUUCUAACAUGUCUGUUUAAAAUGGAAAAGAUGGAUAGUUCGUGGUUUGAGCAGAUUUAUAACUAACUGUAGCCUAUCAACCCCAUUCUGACUAUAAGCAGCGGGAAGAUAAGAACUUGAAUUAAUAAUAAUGACGAUUUAGUUCAAGAAUAAGGCAGUACUUAAAUCUUAAUAAUCUCCGUACAUGGUGCUUUUAUGAGAUAUUCGUGUUUAUUUUGGUGAUGGCCUAAUAUUACCUGAACAUCAUUUGUGCAUUUGAAAAGUUCAUCCAUUAAACUUACCAAGGAUACAACUUGCAGUCCCUUGGCCUGCUUUCUAAUUUGAUUGAUGGUCAGCCGAGUUAUCUAUAUUAUUAAACAUAGUUUUCAUUUUUACAGGGUGGUUGAUGCAUGUCUUCACAUUUUUCAGAGCAACAUGCAGUGGAAGAAGCAGCCUAUGAACUGGAAUAGUUUGCAUAAGAAAUAAGCGAUGUGAGUAUGUUUUGUGUCUUGUAUAUAAGAAAUAGGCAUAAGAAAUAGCAUCACUAGAUUACUUUUUGUGUCUUGUAUAUAGAACUGAACUCCACAUACUGCAGUUUUAAAAUUAAAAAUAUGAAAUCACAUGAUGUAAUCUGAUGCUCAUAUACAUUGCUUAGUAGUUAGCAUAUAUGUAAGACAUGCUUGCAGUCCCUUGGCCUACUUUCUAAUUAGUUUGGUGUUAACACUUUGAUGGUCACAAUCUAAAGAUGACAUGGCAUAUACAGAACUUCACAUACUGCAGUUUUUUUGGUUUGAAGCUCUACAUUUUAAUUCUAGUUCAUCAGAUAACAUACGACCACAAUUGUUUUUCACAUUUAUUUUCAAAUUUUGAAGUGCACAAAAUCAUUGGGGUGAAUAUAUGAGAAUUUGACCAUUUAUUUUCACCCACACAUUUAUGUUGGCAGUCGCAUUCAGUUUGAACAUAUGAGAAUUUGACCGGUGACAAUUUCCUCCAUAUUAUUAAUAACUUUUAUGAAUCCACUUUGGAAUAAAACAUUUGAUACAUGUCUGUCUUAAUUAGGUGUCAAUACAAAAUGAUAUUUGCACUUAUGUUAGAUAUUAACUGAGCAUAUUUUCAUUAGACUCUUAUCAUUAAGAUCGUGUGGAAUAUUUUCAGGUACUCAGCCACCUACUGCGCAUGGAUGUGAUGACUUCGGAGUGUUAUGCAGCAUUUGGCUGUUUCGAGUAUUUUGGACCAGCCAACUUGUGAUCGUGAAUCUUAUGUGUGUUCUGGACCAUUUGCUACUUCAAGUGUUUUGGAGCAUAUAUCUUGUGCUCAUGGGUGUGACUUAAGUGUUUUGGACCAUUUAGUGGCUGAACACUUUUAGAACAGUAAAUAGUGGUCCUUUUAUGUGGCUUGUGUUUUCUGGAUGGUGGUUAAAAUGGCCAAACUUUGCUUUGUCAAGAUUGUCUUGUUUUUGAACUUCUGAUCAAUGUAUAUGUAUGUUUGUGAACAUAUUAUCAAUGCUUGUGCAAUAUGUGUUCAUCUUGAUCCUCUUUGUGUAUAACAUUUGAGCAUUGUAUAAUAUUUAAAUCAGAGCAGUAUCCAAUUGUUGUUUUGG
RNAcentral lists this long non-coding RNA (2173 nucleotides) under Triticum aestivum (bread wheat). RNAcentral's name for it is "long non-coding RNA (TAES_LNC008016)". The record is from RNAcentral. Lineage: Eukaryota; Viridiplantae; Streptophyta; Magnoliopsida; Poales; Poaceae.